CAGCCGCCGCGGUAAUACGUAGGUCCCGAGCGUUGUCCGGAUUUAUUGGGCGUAAAGCGAGCGCAGGCGGUUAGAUAAGUCUGAAGUUAAAGGCUGUGGCUUAACCACAGUACGCUUUGGAAACUGUUUAACUUGAGUGCAAGAGGGGAGAGUGGAAUUCCGUGUGUAGCGGUGAAAUGCGUAGAUAUAUGGAGGAACGCCGGUGGCGAAAGCGGCUCUCUGGCUUGUAACUGACGCUGAGGCUCGAAAGCGUGGGGAGCAAACAGGAUUAGAUACCCCAGUAGUCCCUGUCUCUUAUACA
RNAcentral lists this ribosomal RNA (301 nucleotides) under uncultured bacterium. RNAcentral describes it as "partial 16S ribosomal RNA". It matches the Rfam family "Bacterial small subunit ribosomal RNA", at positions 509 to 808 of the family's 1533-position model. The record is from RNAcentral.